RNAcentral lists this ribosomal RNA (483 nucleotides) under uncultured bacterium. RNAcentral describes it as "partial 16S ribosomal RNA". It matches the Rfam family "Bacterial small subunit ribosomal RNA", at positions 30 to 506 of the family's 1533-position model. The record is from RNAcentral.
AUUGAACGCUGGCGGCAGGCCUAACACAUGCAAGUCGAGCGGAUGAAGGGAGCUUGCUCCUGGAUUCAGCGGCGGACGGGUGAGUAAUGCCUAGGAAUCUGCCUGGUAGUGGGGGAUAACGUCCGGAAACGGGCGCUAAUACCGCAUACGUCCUGAGGGAGAAAGUGGGGGAUCUUCGGACCUCACGCUAUCAGAUGAGCCUAGGUCGGAUUAGCUAGUUGGUGGGGUAAAGGCCUACCAAGGCGACGAUCCGUAACUGGUCUGAGAGGAUGAUCAGUCACACUGGAACUGAGACACGGUCCAGACUCCUACGGGAGGCAGCAGGGGGGAAUAUUGGACAAUGGGCGAAAGCCUGAUCCAGCCAGGCCGCGUGUGUGAAGAAGGUCUUCGGAUUGUAAAGCACUUUAAGUUGGGAGGAAGGGCAGUAAGUUAAUACCUUGCUGUUUUGACGUGACCAACAGAAUAAGCACCGGCUAACUUCGU